This 293-nucleotide ribosomal RNA is filed under the name uncultured eukaryote. RNAcentral's name for it is "partial small subunit ribosomal RNA". It matches the Rfam family "Eukaryotic small subunit ribosomal RNA", at positions 587 to 972 of the family's 1831-position model. The record is from RNAcentral.
AGCUCCAAUAGCGUAUAUUAAAGUUGCUGCGUUUAAAAAGCUCGUAGUUGGAUCUCAGUCUCGAUCGAGCGGUCCGUCUCCUGACGGUUUAGAGUGCUCAAAGCAGGCCACCGCCUGAAUAGUCGUGCAUGGAAUGAUGGAAUAGGGCCUCGGUUCUAUUUUGUUGGUUUCCGGAACUCGAGGUAAUGAUUAAUAGGGACGGACGGGGGCAUUUGUAUUGCGACGUUAGAGGUGAAAUUCUUAGAUCGUCGCAAGACAAACUACUGCGAAAGCAUUUGCCAAGAAUGUUUUCA